GAAAUGCGAUACGUAAUGUGAAUUGCAGAAUCUCGUGAAUCAUCAAAUUUUCGAACGCACAUUGCGCUCUUGGGUAUUCCUAAGAGCAUGCCUGUUUGAGCGUCAGUAUCAACCCUCAAACCCACUUUUGGGUUUGGACCUGGGCCUUUUUCUCAAGGGUCAAACCUUGAGUGGUCUCAAAUCUAUAGGAGAAGUUAGCAAUAUUUCCCGCAUGAAGGCGUGAUAAUGGUGUAGUUUACAUCUUUCUUUCGCCUGCUAUUGUGGACUUGCUAAUAUCAUCUCCGUAAUGGCCUUUUCUGGCAACAUCAAAGGCUUUCUGGCCUUUGAAACUUGACCUCAAAUCAAGCAAGACUACCCGCUGAACUUAA
RNAcentral lists this unclassified non-coding RNA (368 nucleotides) under uncultured Saccharomycetaceae. Its description in RNAcentral is "sequence contains ITS1". The stretch from base 1 to 105 matches the Rfam family "5.8S ribosomal RNA", at positions 50 to 154 of the family's 154-position model. The record is from RNAcentral. Lineage: Eukaryota; Fungi; Ascomycota; Saccharomycetes; Saccharomycetales; Saccharomycetaceae.